RNAcentral lists this ribosomal RNA (253 nucleotides) under uncultured bacterium. Its description in RNAcentral is "partial 16S ribosomal RNA". It matches the Rfam family "Bacterial small subunit ribosomal RNA", at positions 524 to 776 of the family's 1533-position model. The record is from RNAcentral.
UACGAAGGGUCCAAGCGUUAUCCGGAUUUAUUGGGUUUAAAGGGUGCGUAGGCGGCUUAUUAAGUCAGUGGUGAAAGCCUUCAGCUCAACUGAAGAACUGCCAUUGAUACUGAUGAGCUUGAAUAUACUUGAGGUUGGCGGAAUGUGUCAUGUAGCGGUGAAAUGCUUAGAUAUGACACAGAACACCGAUUGCGAAGGCAGCUAGCUAAAGUAUGAUUGACGCUGAUGCACGAAAGCGUGGGGAGCAAACAGG